This 393-nucleotide ribosomal RNA is filed under the name uncultured bacterium. RNAcentral's name for it is "partial 16S ribosomal RNA". It matches the Rfam family "Bacterial small subunit ribosomal RNA", at positions 523 to 918 of the family's 1533-position model. The record is from RNAcentral.
AUACGUAGGUGGCGAGCGUUAUCCGGAAUUACUGGGUGUAAAGGGUGUGUAGGCGGGAAGGCAAGUCGGGUGUGAAAAUUAUGGGCUCAACCCAUAAAGUGCGACCGAAACUGUUUUUCUUGAGGAGCGGAGAGGUAAUGAGAAUUCCCGGUGUAGCGGGGAAAUGCGCAGAGAUCGGGAGGAAUACCGGUGGCGAAGGCGAAUGACUGGAAGAUAACAGACACUGCGACACGAAAGCGUGGGGAGCAAACAGGAAUCGAUUCCCAUGUAGUCCCCGCCCUAAACGAUGAAUGCUAGGUGUAGGGGAGUCAUUUUCUGUGCCGCAGCUAACGCAAUAAGCAUUCCACCUGGGAAGUACGGCCGCAAGGUUGAAACUCAAAGGAAUUGACGGGG